This 494-nucleotide ribosomal RNA is filed under the name uncultured bacterium. RNAcentral describes it as "partial 16S ribosomal RNA". It matches the Rfam family "Bacterial small subunit ribosomal RNA", at positions 28 to 507 of the family's 1533-position model. The record is from RNAcentral.
GACGAACGCUGGCGGCGUGCUUAACACAUGCAAGUCGAACGGAAAGGCCUGCUUUCCCUUGUGGAUUGCGGGUGCUCGAGUGGCGAACGGGUGAGUAACACGUGAGUGAUCUGCCCCCAACUUGGGUAUAAGCCUGGGAAACUGGGUCUAAUUCCCGAUAGGACUGCAGGGUGGUGCCUGUGGUGGAAAACGAUUUUCUAGUGGUUGGGGAUGAGCUCGCGGCCUAUCAGCUUGUUGGUGGGGUAAUGGCCUACCAAGGCGGCGACGGGUAGCCGGCCUGAGAGGGUGGACGGCCACAUUGGGACUGAGAUGCGGCCCAGACGCCUACGGGAGGCAGCAGUGGGGAAUAUUGCACAAUGGGCGGAAGCCUGAUGCAGCGACGCCGCGUGGGGGAUGACGGCCUUCGGGUUGUAAACUCCUUUCGACCGCGAGGAAGCCACCUGGUUGGAAGGGUGGUGACGGUAGUGGUAGAAGAAGCACCGGCUAACUACGUG